CUCUGGGCGGCGGGGGCCCGGGCAGGCAGCCUGGCACCGGUGCAUCACGUCUGUGCGCUGGAUCCCGUGAGCCCAGGACACUGCAGGAGUAGACACUCCAAGCCUACCUGGCACGACUUAAGUGAAGGGAGAGGCCUCCAAGGGCUCCCUCCUUGUCCCCCUCUGCUGUCCCAGGAUGUCCUAGAAGAGGCGUGUGAACUGUCAGUGACUAUCACUGUCAGUGUACAUCUACUUCAAAUUAGCAAAGACCACACUCCCAUGACAUCACCCACGAGAAAGACUGCAAAUACCACCUACCUGGGGCCUCCACUCCCCAGCCUCUGCUCCAGCUGCUGCUCCUGAAUUAACUCAUUUAGUCUCUAUGCAACUGUGGCAGCUUGAAGAAAGGUCCCUGGGUCUUCCCACUUCUCACAAGGAGAGGGAGUCUUGCUCUCAUCACCUUGAAUCUAGGCCAGUCCUGCGUCUGCUCUUACUAGUAGAAUGUGGUAGAAAUAGGCUGGGGCACUUUCUGGAUCAGGCCUUCAAGACCGGCAAGACUUCCAUUUCUUGGCAUGCCCUUUUGGGAGUCCUGGGACAUGAAGUAAGAAACCUGAUUAGGCUGGGUACGCCUGUAAUCCUAGCUUCUUGGGAGGCUGAGGCAGGAGGAACCCCAGGUUUGAGGCCAGCCUCGGCAACGUAGUGAGAAUACAUCUCAAAAUAAAAUAUAAAAGUGGCUGGGGAUGUAGCUCAGUGGUAGAAUGCCUGGGUUCAAUCCCUAGUACCUAGAACCAUGAAUAAUAAUAAGCAGCAGCAGCAGCCUGUCUAGCCUGGGACUGCCGUGCUCUAGAGAGGCCAUCAGUGAGCACUCUAAUUUGCAGUUUCAGUGGGGCCUAGCCUUUCAGUCAUUCCAGCCAAGAUGCCUGAUACAUGCCUGAAGUCAUCUGGGACCUUCCAGGCCAGCUGACUAUGGCCCGAGUUGAUGCCACGUGGAGAAGAAGCUCUAACCAGCCAAAUUCAGACUGAGUAACCUCCCCACAAAGUCAUCAGAUAAUGGGUGGAGAAAAUGGCUUUAUUAUGGAGCAAUCCGUAAGCAGAGCCACCACUUUGGAGGAGGACACAAUGGAGUGCCAUUUUACAGAUGAGAAGCUGAAGAUGCAGAAAAAGUUAGUAGUUUGUCCAAGGUCACACAGUGCUUAGCAGUAGAGCCAGGAUUCAAAACCCAGAUAGCCUGGCUCUGAAGCCUGAGCUCCCUAAACCUGGUCCUGACCACUCUCACAUCCAUGGCAGAUCCACCCCACCAGAGGCCAAGGCUGCUGGAAGCCAGGGGCAGAAUUUUAGCCCCACUCCUGGCAUGGAGAGGUGCUUAAUGUUUGCUCAGAGUGGAACAGGGUGGAGAAAUGAAGAGAGGGAGAGAUGUGUGGACGAAUGGGUGGAUGGAUGAGUG
Molecule: long non-coding RNA, 1423 nt
Filed under: Marmota monax (woodchuck)
Lineage: Eukaryota; Metazoa; Chordata; Mammalia; Rodentia; Sciuridae
Source: RNAcentral